UGGGGAAUAUUGCACAAUGGGCGCAAGCCUGAUGCAGCCAUGCCGCGUGUGUGAAGAAGGCCUUCGGGUUGUAAAGCACUUUCAGCGGGGAGGAAGGCGAUAAGGUUAAUAACCUUGUCGAUUGACGUUACCCGCAGAAGAAGCACCGGCUAACUCCGUGCCAGCAGCCGCGGUAAUACGGAGGGUGCAAGCGUUAAUCGGAAUUACUGGGCGUAAAGCGCACGCAGGCGGUCUGUCAAGUCGGAUGUGGAAUCCCCGGGCUCAACCUGGGAACUGCAUUCGAAACUGGCAGGCUAGAGUCUUGUAGAGGGGGGUAGAAUUCCAGGUGUAGCGGUGAAAUGCGUAGAGAUCUGGAGGAAUACCGGUGGCGAAGGCGGCCCCCUGGACAAAGACUGACGCUCAGGUGCGAAAGCGUGGGGAGCAAACAGG
This 429-nucleotide ribosomal RNA is filed under the name Chloroflexota bacterium. Its description in RNAcentral is "Chloroflexi bacterium partial 16S ribosomal RNA". It matches the Rfam family "Bacterial small subunit ribosomal RNA", at positions 355 to 776 of the family's 1533-position model. Lineage: Bacteria; Bacillati; Chloroflexota. The record is from RNAcentral.